UCUCUCUCUGUCCCAAAAAUAAAUAAACCCAUAAAGAAAAUUGCCUUUUUCUUGUAAUUUACUAAGAUAUUUGUGAACUGAUGGAGACCCAUGUCCUUUAGGACUGUGAUUUCUAUCAGUUAACCAUUUGUUUUUCUUUCCUUUCCUUUGUUUUUGGACAGCUAGGAGUGUCCA
This is a long non-coding RNA of Herpailurus yagouaroundi (jaguarundi), 174 nucleotides long. RefSeq lists it as uncharacterized. The record is from RefSeq and is a predicted model, not a curated record. The transcript has 3 exons. NCBI's taxonomy places the organism in Eukaryota, Metazoa, Chordata, Mammalia, Carnivora, Felidae.